This 1008-nucleotide ribosomal RNA is filed under the name Triticum aestivum (bread wheat). RNAcentral's name for it is "partial small subunit ribosomal RNA". The record is from RNAcentral. Lineage: Eukaryota; Viridiplantae; Streptophyta; Magnoliopsida; Poales; Poaceae.
AUGGCAGAAAUAUGCUCGUGGCGCGGGAUAGGUGACGGCGCUCACGUUGGGCCCAGAGGCCGGUUGGGUGGAGGAGACGAACCGGGCAGGGUUCACGCGGACCGGGGCGAGGUUGGACCGGGCUGGUUCUCGGGAAAAUCGGCCGGUUCAACCGGGUCUUGGCGGUCCAGGGUGGGUUGGAGGCGAACCGGCCCGGUCAACGGCAGCGAGACAAGUUCGUUCGUCUCUAGGACGAAGCCGACGCAGAGGUUGGGCAUGGCGCCGGCAGGACUUGACGCGGACGAGGCAAGAAGGGCGGAGGCCGUCGGGAACGGAGCAGAUCGGCGCGAGGCUGGAUGGAUCCGGCGAAGAACGACCAGAUCUGAUGGGAUGCGAAGCUUGGUGACCCAAGGCGGCGAGCUCCAGUCUUCGGGCGCCCAUGGCGGAACUGCAGGGGACAGAGGGAGUGAGGAAGGGAGAAAGAGAGGAGAGGAAAAAGCAGGGCGCUGGGGCACUGGCCUGGCGGCGGAGCGCCCAUGGUCGACGGCCGGCGCAAGGAACGGCGGCAUUCCGGUGGCCUCGAGCGACGAGGACAGACGGGAGGUGCACGGCGACGAGCUCGGGAUCGAGCGACGAGCUUGGGGACGAGCUGCGGGCCGCGGAUGGGCCAAGCGGGCCCGCACGAUGGGAGGCGCGGCUGAAGCGACGGGGAGCCAGGUGGCGGCCUGCGGCAGGCCGAUCCGGCGACUGGGUGGCUGGCAAGUGGCGCUGGAGAGGUGGCUGGCGCCGAAUUUGGAGGGGAAGGCGGCUGGUGGCACGGAAUUUGAGAAGGGAGGCGGCAGGGAGGUAGGGGAAGAGCUAGGCUGCCAAAUUUGGAAGGGAUUGUCCAUAUAUAGGCAGGGAUGGCUAGGGUUUGGGUUUAGGGGGGUUUUAGGAGCGUCUCGGAGCCUCCGAUCGCGAUCUGACGGUCCAGCACGGAGGGGGGGUUCAGAUGGGCUGCAGGUGGGUUGUGAAAAGAGGUUGGGCUGA